RNAcentral lists this transfer RNA (58 nucleotides) under Cavia porcellus (domestic guinea pig). It matches the Rfam family "tRNA", at positions 8 to 63 of the family's 71-position model. Rfam says of the family: Transfer RNA (tRNA) molecules are approximately 80 nucleotides in length. Lineage: Eukaryota; Metazoa; Chordata; Mammalia; Rodentia; Caviidae. The record is from Rfam by way of RNAcentral.
UAGCUUAGUGGCAUAAGCACCUGCCUUGCAAGCAGGCGGUCCUAAGUUCGAUCCCCAG